GGACUCAUAGCUCAGCUGGUUAGAGCGCUACGUUGACAUCGUAGAGGUCGGCGGUUCGACUCCGUCUGAGUCCACCA
RNAcentral lists this transfer RNA (77 nucleotides) under Aneurinibacillus danicus. Its description in RNAcentral is "tRNA-Val". It matches the Rfam family "tRNA". From Rfam's summary of the family: Transfer RNA (tRNA) molecules are approximately 80 nucleotides in length. Their secondary structure includes four short double-helical elements and three loops (D, anti-codon, and T loops). Further hydrogen bonds mediate the characteristic L-shaped molecular structure. tRNAs have two regions of fundamental functional importance: the anti-codon, which is responsible for specific mRNA codon recognition, and the 3' end, to which the tRNAs corresponding amino acid is attached (by aminoacyl-tRNA synthetases). tRNAs cope with the degeneracy of the genetic code in two manners: having more than one tRNA (with a specific anti-codon) for a particular amino acid; and 'wobble' base-pairing, i.e. permitting non-standard base-pairing at the 3rd anti-codon position. Lineage: Bacteria; Bacillati; Bacillota; Bacilli; Caryophanales; Paenibacillaceae. The record is from RNAcentral.